AGGUGUGCACUACUGUUGUUAAUGUUAUAUUUAGUGUGUGCUGGCCAUAUUAGAUGAUUGUAUGUUCAUAUCAAAAAUCUGUAAAGGCUUUUUGUGGAUGCUUUACUUAAGUGUGUGUCUGUGUGGGUGUAUGUAUGUACAUAUAUGUAUGUAUACAUGCACAUACACAUUCAAGUGUAUAUAUGUGUUUCCUUUUCAGCUGCACCUGUGGCAUAUGGAAAGUUCCCAGGCCAAGAACUGAAUCCAAGCCACAUCUGCAACCUAUGCCACAGCUGUGGCAAUGCUGGAUCCUUAACCCACUGUGCCAGGGACCAAACCAGCAAUGCCAUAGAUUAUUAACCCACUGCACCACAGCAGGAACUCCAAGGAUGUAUUUUACCAUGCUAAUUGUUUUAUAUAUAUAUAAGAUCCUAAAUUUCUUUUUUUAAAAUUUUUUAUUGUUAUUUCCCCAAUACAAUUUUUUUUCUACUGUACAGCAUGGUGACCCAGUUACACAUACAUGUAUAGAUUCUUUUUUCUCACAUUAUCAUGCUCCAUCGUAAGUGACUAGACAUAGUUCCCAGUACUACACAGCAGGAUAUCAUGGCUAAGAUCGUAAAUUUCUUGAUCAUAAAUUACUCGACAUGAGGUUUUGAGGAACGUAACUCCCACAAUAGGAAAUAAAUACCUUUCAUCUGUAACCAAACCAGUGCAGUCGGGAUUUUGAUUUAAUCAAAUAGUAUAUAUCACAAUCUUAAACAUUGCUUUAGAAUCUCCAGGGCAGUGUGUCAUUCUGAGGCAGGUGGUCUUUGGCCGUUUUGAGAGGUGAGUACAAGAAAAAUAUCUCCAAAAAGAGAGAAAGAACAACAAAAAAUAUCUCCAGUGGAAUAAUGACAUAGGUGAAAAGAAAAAGGUGAAUCUUCUUAGCAUCCCAUGAUGCAUAUCUACUUACUGACAUUUUAUAAGCAAGGAAACUGCCUCUGAGAUAAUGAGAUAAUAGAGAAUCUUAGGUAAGAAUGUCAAUUGAUGGAGAAGCCUUGAGUCAAAUAGGUCUUCCCAACUCAAAGAUUCUGUACUUUCUGCUAGGUAUCCAUGAAAUAGGGGUUAAUUAGGACAUUGAGACAAUGACUCAGACUAUUCUCACUAUUGAAAAAGAAUUCAGAUGUAGAAAUAAAGGCAUAUUGCUGGUCCAGCCACAGUUUGCCUUUUGUACUUUGCCCUGGGGUGUGUAUAUCACUGAGUUCUAACUAAUCGAUGUCUGCCAGCUCUCUGAGACAUCUCUCUGAAUUAGCAGAAUGUGCCUCCUUGCUCUGUGGAGGCCAGAGCCUUUGAUAUUGGUCUCCCGGCUUGGGAGGGAUGGCUGUGAGGAGGAGUGGGGAGAAGCAGAUGUUUUUGGUGUGGAACUGAGACAGGUGCCUCUAGAGUGUGGCCACGUGACACCACCUGCCCUUGCAAGUCUCUAGCCCAGCUGCUCCAGAAGAGGAAGGACAAGCCAUUUAGAAUGUUUGUGGGGUCUGGUCUCGUCUGCCUAGGCUGUUGCAGUGUUUUUCCAUCAGCCUGAGACCCACCAGACUCAUCUCAUUUGUCAGAUUCUUAGAAACACAAUUGUGUGAGGUGUGCUGAAGCCAUUCAGGGAUGAUGCAAACUAGAGAACUUGCUUUGUCUAUUAUCAUUAGAGAUUUCUCCAAAUCUUGAACUAAAGCUACCACAUUUUAAUCAUUCAACAAAUAUGAUGUACCUACUUUAACAUAGAAGCUGUGCUUGUUUGGGGAAUGCAAUUGAGAAUAAAAGAGGUGGUAGUCACUGUCCAUGUAGAGAAUUAAUCUAUUGGAGGGAAGGGACGAUAAGCCUAGCAAAACCCAAAUAAAUAAUUGCUAUUAAGGAAUGUGCAAGUAUCUAUCACAACCUGCUAUGUAGGGGUUCCCAUUUAGUAGCCCCCUUACCUGCAUGGAUAUGUUCCAAGACCCCCAGGGAAUGUCCAAAACCAUGGAUAGUGCCAAACUUUAUACAGGCAUACCUCAAAAAUUGUGCAGUUCCAGACCACCAUGGUAAAGUGAGUCACACAAAGUUUUCACUUUCCCAGGGAAUGUAAAACUAAGUUUAAGCUCUACUGUGGUCUAUUGUGUGUGCCAACAGCAUUAUGUCUAAAAUAAGAAUGGAUAUAGCUUAAUUGGUAAAAAAAUGCUAGCCAUAAUCUGACCAUGCAAGGUUGCCACAAACCUUCAAUUUGUAGAAAAUUCAAGAUCUGUGAGGUGCAGCAGAAUGAGAAACAUUCAACAAGGCAUUCCUAUGUAUAUACUAUGUUUCUGUGGCAUAUGGAGGUUCCCAGGCUAGGGUCUAGGCAGAACUAUAGUCGCCGGCCUAUGCCACAGCCACAGCAACGCCAGAUCUGAGUGGUGUCUGUGACCUAUACACAGCUCAGGGCAAUGCUGAUCCUUAACCCACUGAGCAAAGCCAGGGAUCAAAGCUGCAACCUCAUGGUUCCUAGUCAGAUUCGUUUCCACUGCACUAUGACGGGAACUCCUGGUUUGUUUCUUCAUUGUAUUUUGGUUUAGAGGAAGAGAUUGGUCAUUGGCCAGAGAAUGUGUUAAGUAAAAUGGGUGGGAUAUAUCACGACAAAGAGGAAAAAUAAUGUGCGGCAGGAGAAACCUCUCAGUAAAGGUCGAAAAAACCCCAAAGGGAACUGGGUUCCUGUUGUAACUCCGGGUUGCUCCUUAUGGCUGGAGGGUGGGUGAGUUUUGGGAAAAAGCACAUGAGGCUAUUUUAUAUUAGCUUUGGUAGAUUUCUCUAAGAUUUGUGGAUGGAGAUUAAUGUCACUUAAAGCUAAUGCCUUACGUAAUAAUUUACGAAGAUAGUAUCGUUCUCCAUCUUUCUGUAUGUCUCUUUUCAUUUCUCAAUCUCAGUAUUUCUAUUAGCCUCUCUCUUAUGCACACACUGAUGGCACAAUUGCAUGAAUAAUAAAUAUUUUGAAUUGUAAAGGCGUCCAAAAUUUUAUGUUUAAAACAGUGGUUUUAAGGCAGUUGUGAGAAACUGAGUGAUGUUUCACGGUACUACAGGGAUUGAGGAAUCAUAAAGUAGUCGAAAGGACAUGAACCAUGGAGUAAAACUGUCUUGAAUUUAAAUCCUGAUUCUGCCAUCUACCAAAUGUCUGAGCUUAGGCAAGUCACUUACCACUUGUAUCUUAUGUUUUGUCAUCUGUAAAAUGAGGAUAAUAAAACUGCUACCAGGCAAAGCUUCUACAUGAAUUACAUGAAAUCACAUGUGUCAGGAGUCCUAAAUCCAUUUCUGUAGACCCUGGGAUUUGAUGCAAAAUAUUAUAUUUAUAUGCGUUUGGGGGACAUAAGUAUGCAUAAACCUUAUCAGAUUUGUCAGAUUGUUUGAGUCAUUAAUCUCAAAGUACCCAGGGCUCAAAACAAGGUAACUUUCCUAUUCCCUUCUUUUGAAACUAUUAUAUAUAAUUUUUUCAAACAGUAAAUGCAUAUAUUUUUAUUGGAGUUACAGUCAGGAUAAAUUACUGAUUGAUCUCUCCAAUCAACACAAUAACAAGACAGUUGUUGAAUAAGAUGGAAUGAGCCAAGUGUUCAGAAUGCUAGGAGAAGGAUUUAUGCAUCAGGCUUAGAAGUGGUACAGCAUGAUGGUUAAUAUCUUGUUCUCCAGAGUCACACAAUCUAAGUUUAUCACUCAAUGUAUGCCCCUGAAGGCAGCUAGCAUUUGCAUAAAUAUUAUAGCUAGUAAUCAAUAAAUCUUAUUGUAUUAAGCCACUGACAUUUUAAAGGUUGAUUUCUUGCUUAAAUAUAGUGUAAUGGGUGCUCAGGGAGCUGGGAAGAUGCACAUUCUUUCACCAAUUUAAAACCCAGGCUCUUACUCCUUUGUGGCUCCACCAUUUUUAAAUGGCCGUGGUGUGGUCUCAGUUCAGCCAUGGGUGAGGAGACGGUCCACGGAGAAGAUCCCCUCCGUCUUAAACAUGUUCGCCUGGAAAUACACUAUCUCUGCUCAUAUUCUCUUGGCUAGAACUUAAUUGCCCCCUCAUGCUUAAUUGCAAGGAACGCUGGAAAAUGUUGGCUAGUGCCCCAUAAAUGAAGGAAAAGGAUCUUGGUGAGCUCACAGUUCACUCAGUCACAGUGCUUUUGUAGAACUGGUCAAGUCCUUUCUUUUCUCCUCUCUAGGCCUCACUUUUCCUAUCCUUAUGAUAAACAGGUUAAUCCUUUCUUCAUGGGGUGGUGCGCAUCAGAUAUACUAGUCGAUGUAAAGCUUUCACACUGUUCCUCAUGUGAUGUUAAGUGUUCAUAAAUGUUUGCUGUCACUAUUUGUAUUAUCAUUUGUGCGGGAGGCUUUGCUGAGAGAGGUUAAUGCUACCUGGGUGGCUACUGGGUUCUUACUAACAAAGACUCAAUGGAAUUCAGUGCCUCAAAAGGCUUUUG
RNAcentral lists this long non-coding RNA (4400 nucleotides) under Sus scrofa (pig). RNAcentral's name for it is "lncRNA (ENSSSCG00060046811.1)". Lineage: Eukaryota; Metazoa; Chordata; Mammalia; Artiodactyla; Suidae. The record is from RNAcentral.